UGGGGAAUAUUGGACAAUGGGGGCAACCCUGAUCCAGCAAUGCCGCGUGUGUGAAGAAGGUCUUCGGAUUGUAAAGCACUUUCGACGGGGACGAUGAUGACGGUACCCGUAGAAGAAGCCCCGGCUAACUUCGUGCCAGCAGCCGCGGUAAUACGAAGGGGGCUAGCGUUGCUCGGAAUGACUGGGCGUAAAGGGCGUGUAGGCGGUUUACACAGUCAGAUGUGAAAUCCCCGGGCUUAACCUGGGAGCUGCAUUUGAUACGUGUAGACUAGAGUGUGAGAGAGGGUUGUGGAAUUCCCAGUGUAGAGGUGAAAUUCGUAGAUAUUGGGAAGAACACCGGUGGCGAAGGCGGCAACCUGGCUCAUGACUGACGCUGAGGCGCGAAAGCGUGGGGAGCAAACAGGUUAGAUACCCUGGUAGUCCACGCUGUAAACGAUGUGUGCUAGAUGUUGGGUAACUUUGGUU
Molecule: ribosomal RNA, 465 nt
Filed under: uncultured bacterium
Lineage: Bacteria
Description: partial 16S ribosomal RNA
Rfam family: Bacterial small subunit ribosomal RNA
Source: RNAcentral